This 426-nucleotide long non-coding RNA is filed under the name Homo sapiens (human). RNAcentral describes it as "HSALNT0238953". The record is from RNAcentral. Lineage: Eukaryota; Metazoa; Chordata; Mammalia; Primates; Hominidae.
GGGAAGGGUGUGCGUAUGUGUGUUAUCCUAUUGGCCAACAGCUUACAAAAUUUGGGUCUAGAGGUGGUUUAGAGUGAAUUCUAGGCCUCUAGCCACCCUCCUUAUUUACUAAUUUAUUUUUACUUACUAAUUUACUACUUAGCUAAUCUUUAUUGUCAAUUACAAGGUACUCUGUUUGGUUUUUAAGAUAUUAUCCCAUCAGUCUCUAUAUUGAUUCUAUGCAAUGAGUGUUCAGUUUUUAAAAUCAACCUUAAAGAACUCUUGAAAGAAUAAAAAGAGGAGUAAGUGUCCAGUUUGAGGGCCGGGCACCGUGGCUCAUGCCUGUAAUUCUAGGACUUUGGGAGGCCAAGGCAGGCGGAUCGCUCAAGUCCAGGAGUUUGAGACCAACCUGGGCAACAUGGUGAAAGCCCAUCUCCACUAAAAGCA